CACGCAGGCGGUCUGUCAAGUCGGAUGUGAAAUCCCCGGGCUCAACUUGGGAACUGCGUUUGGAACUGUCAGACUAGAGUGCGUCAGAGGGGGGUGGAAUUCCGCGUGUAGCAGUGAAAUGCGUAGAGAUGCGGAGGAACACCGAUGGCGAAGGCAGCCCCCUGGGAUGACACUGACGCUCAUGCACGAAAGCGUGGGGAGCAAACAGGAUUAGAUACCCUAGUA
This 225-nucleotide ribosomal RNA is filed under the name uncultured Vogesella sp. Its description in RNAcentral is "partial 16S ribosomal RNA". It matches the Rfam family "Bacterial small subunit ribosomal RNA", at positions 568 to 792 of the family's 1533-position model. The record is from RNAcentral. Lineage: Bacteria; Pseudomonadati; Pseudomonadota; Betaproteobacteria; Neisseriales; Chromobacteriaceae.